This 123-nucleotide small RNA is filed under the name Marmota monax (woodchuck). Lineage: Eukaryota; Metazoa; Chordata; Mammalia; Rodentia; Sciuridae. The record is from RNAcentral.
ACUGGGUGCGGUGGUGCAUGCCUGUAAUCCAGUAGCUUGGGAGGCUGAGACAGGAGUAUCAAAGUUCCAAGCCAGCCUCAGUAAAAGCAAGGUGCUAAGCAACUCAGUGAGACCCUGUCUCUA